AUGUUGCCAAUGGAGUUAAAUGGUCCUCCAUUUGGUCAACCAACAACUCCAGCAACUGCUGAGCAAUCUCAUGUGCAAGUGCCCACUCAAGAUGAGUUCGAUGACAUAGACAAGCUCACAUUGCUUAGUCUUGAGUUCACUUGGAGUGCCGAGGAUGAUCCUAUUAGGAAGGUUAUACUAGAUGAAAUGAAGAAGAUCAAGAGUGGAAAAGAGCUAGUGGAAGAAGUAAGGAAGAUUGAGAAGAACAUCAACGCUGGCAGCACUAUUUCUUCACAACUUGAGUUGAGUGUGGCUGAGAUAUCCAUGGAUACAUGUGAGGUUCCAACACCUUCACAUUUCGUUGAGCAAGUUAGCAAGUGCCUUGAGCAAGAGAUACCUCAGAUUGAAGAAGAUGAACUAGAAGACAAGGAACAAGAUGGUCAAGAGCUGCAAUUCCCAAGUGAUCAAGUUGAAGACUCAUCAUCUAUUACUCCUGAAGAAGUACAAGAAGCUGCUGUAGAUGAAGAUGAAGAACAUGAGAUUCAUUUGCCUAUUGUCAUACCAGAGCGUGAUGUGUCAGGUUUACUCAAUCCUCUUGAUGACAUGAUGCCUUGUGAUUUCUUGGCUACCACCUUGCAUUACAUGAUACCAUCACUUACGAUCGAUUUGAAAACUCAUUUGCUUGGAUAUGAUGAUAUAUACCCUGUUAGUGGCAUUGCUCUCAUUUGUGAUGAUCAAAAUUACUUUCCUCAUGCUAGUCUUGAGCUUAAUGAUAAAUGUCAUCCUCGUGUGAGUAUUGACCAUGCUGAUUUCUGCCAUCCUAAACAUGUGCUUUAUAGUUAUGCUUAUAUAAUUGGAUAUUCCAUUGAUGACUUGGAGGGCAUCGACCGUAUCACUUGUAGUUGUUUGUGUGAGUCCUAUUUCGGGCUUUUGCUACUGCACUGUUUACUACAUGCUGACCAGGUUCGAGGUGACAUUCCUUGGGAUCCUGGUGGAGUCAGAGCAUGGCUAUGA
Molecule: ribosomal RNA, 993 nt
Filed under: Triticum aestivum (bread wheat)
Lineage: Eukaryota; Viridiplantae; Streptophyta; Magnoliopsida; Poales; Poaceae
Description: partial small subunit ribosomal RNA
Source: RNAcentral